Molecule: ribosomal RNA, 510 nt
Filed under: uncultured bacterium
Lineage: Bacteria
Description: partial 16S ribosomal RNA
Rfam family: Bacterial small subunit ribosomal RNA
Source: RNAcentral
GACGAACGCUGGCGGCGUGCUUAACACAUGCAAGUCGAACGAAGAGCGAUGGAAGCUUGCUUCUAUCAAUCUUAGUGGCGACCGGGUGAGUAACGCGUAAUCAACCUGCCCUUCAGAGGGGGACAACAGUUGGAAACGACUGCUAAUGCCGCAUACGAUCUGACCUCGGCAUCGAGGAUAGAUGAAAGGUGGCCUCUAUUUAUAAGCUAUCACUGAAGGAGGGGAUUGCGUCUGAUUAGCUAGUUGGAGGGGUAACGGCCCACCAAGGCGAUGAUCAGUAGACGGUCUGAGAGGAUGAACGGCCACAUUGGGACUGAGACACGGCCCAGACUCCUACGGGAGGCAGCAGUGGGGAAUCUUCCGCAAUGGACGAAAGUCUGACGGAGCAACGCCGCGUGAGUGAUGACGGCCUUCGGGUUGUAAAGCUCUGUUAAUCGGGACGAAAGGCCUUCUUGCGAAUAGUUAGAAGGAUUGACGGUACCGGAAUAGAAAGCCACGGCUAACUACGUG